This is a long non-coding RNA of Mustela erminea (ermine), 2020 nucleotides long. RefSeq lists it as uncharacterized. Lineage: Eukaryota; Metazoa; Chordata; Mammalia; Carnivora; Mustelidae. The record is from RefSeq and is a predicted model, not a curated record. The transcript has 3 exons.
GGGAAAAGUAUGUGCUAUACUAAGUGCUGUGAUAUGUGUAGGCCUGAUGAUUCACAGACCUGUACCCCUGGGGCAAAUAAUACAUUAUAUGUUAAUAAAAAUAAUUUUUUAGAAUUGAGAUAUUGAGAUACUUCUGCUGGAAGCCUACUGCCUUUGUGGAUUACUUUCCCUUCCAGAAUCCUGGCUUUCAACAAAAUCUGUAGAAAAUUAUUUCAUUUGAGAUAGGAUUUUUUAACAGUUUGUGAAAUUUUAGGAAGAUUACAAAUAUUUACUGUGUAAAUUAAGUGAGUCUUAAGAAAACAUGAAAGUUAAAGGAAGCCAGAAUUAAAAAGAACAGCUCGGGCAACAUAUCCCUCCAUUGUCUAAGCGGGAUUAGUCUCCAAAAUAUCCAUAAUGAAAGCAAUUGUAUUUCAAAUUGUUUAAUUUAGAAGGAAACUGAUUUUGACAACAGAAACACAAUGGUCAGGAAUAGUGUUUUAAUGAGCCUUCGAAAGUAUGCUAACAUAGCUUUCAAAAACUCAAUUCCCCUAUGAUGGAUAACUUCAUCGCACACACUUGGCUAUUUAAAUCUCAGAGGUCAGAGGGUUUGUAUAUAUUAUUGGUUACAAAGGCAGAGAUCUCUCAACUUGCCUCUUAGGGAGGGAAUUUAUAAAGCACCUCCUUUAUAGACCGUCUGAAGCACUCCAAAAAAAAAGUUCCCUGUGUAGUUUAGCUUUCAUAAACUGGAUCAGCAUGAGCCUACAAUUAAUGUGAGAACCUUAUCACACUCUGCCUGCCAGUCUUGUUUUAUUUCUCCUGUUUUUAUACGCAAAGCAAAUACUAUUUGUCAUUAUUUGCAAUAGAUUACAAAGGUGAAGAAUAUGUGAAAAGAAGAGACCAAACACAGGUUACCUAUAGAAACGUUAUUGGCUCUUCCUUGUUGGGUAGCUGGAGUUAAGGAGCGCUCUUGCCUGCCUGCCUACUAGCUUGCUACCCUUAUUUUUAUUACACACACAUUUUAAGACCUUAUUUUGGAUUCAGAAUUAAAACCUCAGCACGGUGCACUUUUUGGUGACUUAAUAGCAUCACAGCGCACAACUCCGUGUUAUACUCAUUCUUCAAAAAGAACUGUGUAUGCACCUACAGAUUAUUUGUGUGUUAUAACAUAUAAUAGGCAGUGGCUAUGCUACAAUGUAAAAGUUCCACUUCCUGUCCUUCUGCUUUAACCAUUCUAUGGCAAGGUCCUAUUGAAUUGAUAAAAUGUUUCUCAUACCUUCUCUGGUGUGAGAAGGAUGCUUUCCUUCAUAAUGGAACCCACCGGGACCGCAACGUAAAUAACAUGUCCAUGAAAUUGGGGUACCUGCUCCCGUCAUCUUCAUAGAUGCCUGGCCCUUUGGCAAAGAGCACCAAUGAAUACAGAGCAUUUGAUAAAAUAUUUGGUAGUAGACCAAACUGUAAUCCUAAUGUCAAGCAGAAUGGGGAAAACUUGAGGUUUCAAACUGUGGGUUGCAUACACAUUGUCCUAGGCUUCCAGACUGAUCACUGUUUGUUUGCAUUUGUAUAAAAGUUUUAACCAUUAAAAAAAAUUUUAAAACUGAGGUAUAGUUGAUAUACAACAUUAUGUUAGUUUCAGGAAUAGUUGUUUAUUUGAAAAUAACAUGGAGGGUACCUUUGGAGAACUGAAACUUGGCUUUCUAAACAAAAAUGAGAGAGGAGAAGGGUACGCUAAGACACUUCAGGCAUUUUAUUAAUGCUACUAUCCUUCCUAAUGCAGCUCUAGCCACAUGCCCUCAUGUCUGUAAGCAUGCUGUCACUGACCACAGUGCCUUGCUUUAGAGCCCUGUGAUUCUAAAGAAUGUACCAAGUGCUGAAAGAUUAACAAAACAGUUACUUCCGUUAAACCAAGUCAUGUGUAUUUAACCUUGCAAACAUGCAUGCAUUUUCAUUGAAAAGGCACCUUUCCUGAACAAUCUCUUUCCACGUAUUCAUAAUGAACUGUGAAUUCACUUAAAUAAUUUUAUUUAGAUUAUUUUUGUAUUUG